GAGUUUGAUCUUGGCUCAGAUUGAACGCUGGCGGCAUGCCUUACACAUGCAAGUCGAACGGCAGCACGGGAGCUUGCUCCUGGUGGCGAGUGGCGAACGGGUGAGUAAUGCAUCGGAACGUAUCCUGGAGUGGGGGAUAACGUAGCGAAAGUUACGCUAAUACCGCAUAUUCUGUGAGCAGGAAAGCGGGGGACCUUCGGGCCUCGCGCUCUUGGAGCGGCCGAUGUCGGAUUAGCUAGUUGGUGAGGUAAAGGCUCACCAAGGCGACGAUCCGUAGCAGGUCUGAGAGGAUGAUCUGCCACACUGGAACUGAGACACGGUCCAGACUCCUACGGGGGGCAGCAGUGGGGAAUUUUUGGACAAUGGGGGCAACCCUGAUCCAGCCAUGCCGCGUGAGUGAAGAAGGCCUCGG
Molecule: ribosomal RNA, 412 nt
Filed under: bacterium enrichment culture clone ALO1_GLFRUDD03FNZ0K
Lineage: Bacteria
Description: bacterial SSU rRNA
Rfam family: Bacterial small subunit ribosomal RNA
Source: RNAcentral